CGCGGCCUAKCAGCUUGUUGGUGGGGUAAUGGCCUACCAAGGCGACGACGGGUAGCCGGCCUGAGAGGGUGACCGGCCACACUGGGACUGAGAUACGGCCCAGACUCCUACGGGAGGCAGCAGUGGGGAAUAUUGCACAAUGGGCGCAAGCCUGAUGCAGCGACGCCGCGUGGGGGAUGACGGCCUUCGGGUUGUAAACCUCUUUCAGUACCGACGAAGCGUAAGUGACGGUAGGUACAGAAGAAGCACCGGCCAACUACGUGCCAGCAGCCGCGGUAAUACGUAGGGUGCGAGCGUUGUCCGGAAUUACUGGGCGUAAAGAGCUCGUAGGUGGUUUGUCGCGUUGUCCGUGAAAACUCACAGCUUGACUGUGGGCGUGCGGGCGAUACGGGCAGACUAGAGUACUGCAGGGGAGACUGGAAUUCCUGGUGUAGCGGUGGAAUGCGCAGAUAUCAGGAGGAACACCGGUGGCGAAGGCGGGUCUCUGGGCAGUAACUGACGCUGAGGAGCGAAAGCGUGGGGAGCGAACAGGAUUAGAUACCCUGGUAGUCCACGCCGUAAACGGUGGGUACUAGGUGUGGGUUCCUUCCUUGGGAUCCGUGCCGUAGCUAACGCAUUAAGUACCCCGCCUGGGGAGUACGG
This 642-nucleotide ribosomal RNA is filed under the name uncultured bacterium. RNAcentral's name for it is "bacterial SSU rRNA". It matches the Rfam family "Bacterial small subunit ribosomal RNA", at positions 232 to 885 of the family's 1533-position model. The record is from RNAcentral.